RNAcentral lists this ribosomal RNA (501 nucleotides) under uncultured bacterium. RNAcentral's name for it is "bacterial SSU rRNA". It matches the Rfam family "Bacterial small subunit ribosomal RNA", at positions 14 to 518 of the family's 1533-position model. The record is from RNAcentral.
AGUUAUGGACUCAGGAUGAACGCUGGCGCGUAGCCUAACACAUGCAAGUCGAACGAAGCCAUUUACCGGAGAUUCGUCGAAGUGAAUUUGACUUAGUGGCGACGGGUGAGUAAUGUAUGAGCAACCUGCCUUUCAGAGGGGGACAACAGUUGAAACGACUGCUAAUACCGCAUAAUGUAUUUUGGGGGCAUCCUCGGGAUACCAAAGGAGCAAUCCGCUGAAAGAUGGGCUCAUAUCUGAUUAGUUAGUUGUGGGGCAACGGCCUACCAAGACUGCGAUCAGUAGCCGGACUGAGAGGUUGAACGGCCACAUUGGGACUGAGAUACGGCCCAGACUCCUACGGGAGCAGCAGUGGGGAAUAUUGGGCAAUGGGCGAAAGCCUGACCCAGCAACGCCGCGUGAAGGAAGAAGGUCUUCGGAUUGUAAACUUCUUUUAUGAGGGACGAAGGACGUGACGGUACCUCAUGAAUAAGCCACGGCUAACUACGUGCCAGCCGCUGC